UACAGAGGGUGCAAGCGUUAAUCGGAGUUACUGGGCGUAAAGGGCGCGUAGGCGGUCAUGUAAGUGAGAUGUGAAAUCCCUGGGCUUAACCUAGGAACGGCAUCUUAAACUGUGUGACUGGAGUACUGUAGAGGGUAGUGGAAUUUCCGGUGUAGCAGUGAAAUGCGUAGAGAUCGGAAGGAACACCAGUGGCGAAGGCGGCUACCUGGACAGAUACUGACGCUGAGGCGCGAGAGCGUGGGGAGCAAACAGG
This 253-nucleotide ribosomal RNA is filed under the name uncultured bacterium. RNAcentral's name for it is "partial 16S ribosomal RNA". It matches the Rfam family "Bacterial small subunit ribosomal RNA", at positions 524 to 776 of the family's 1533-position model. The record is from RNAcentral.